GUAACAUCCCCUUUUUUCAAGGCUAUUACCUUUGGAGGAAUAAUGGAAAGACUUCUCAGAUAGCUGGAAUCUCAAUGGACAAUCCUCAUAGCUGGUCAUACCAAGCCUGCAGCAAAUUUUUAGCUUUGCACAGCAAUGGGUUGUAGCCAGACAGUGUGAGCUGAACAUUCGCACUGCUCCUAAGGUUUAAUUUCAAGGUUAAAUUUUGAGUUCAGACCAGUUGUCAGCCUGCUGAUUUUUAACUUGAUUGGAGACGGACAUUUCUC
Molecule: long non-coding RNA, 266 nt
Filed under: Parus major (Great Tit)
Lineage: Eukaryota; Metazoa; Chordata; Aves; Passeriformes; Paridae
Description: lncRNA (ENSPMJG00000004880.1)
Source: RNAcentral